UUAAUGAUGGCUUCGGGAUGCUCUCCUGCGGUCCAAGGGGUCUGAGCCGGGCCAGGGCCUCUCCGGCUGUCCCCGUCCCUCUGUCCGCCAGGCCAGGCUCCGUCCGUCUGUCCUGCUGUUUCCCGUCUUCGCCAUUUCCUUUCCCCGUGGGUCUGUGUCAGCCUUUGUCCCUCCGUCAGCCCCAACCCGGGUGUUUCCGUCCCCGUGUCUGCCGGUGCCAGUCCCCGUCAGUCCUGUCCCCCUGUCCUGGUGUUUCCUGUCCGUGUGUCCUUCCGCGCUCCUCCUCCCACAUCGCCUGGCCUCAGCCCCCGUCCUGCUGUCCCCGUCCUGCUGUCCCCGUCCUGCUGUCCCCGUCCUGCUGUCCCCGUCCUGCUGUCCCUCUGCCCACUCCCUCUGUGCCCGACCUGCUCGGUUCUGCUCCCAGUCCAUGUCCCUCUGUCCUGGCUUAUCCUUGUCCCUGGGUGUCCUAUCCCUGUCCUGGAUUCUGGAUGUGUUUCUUGCCUCAUCCCAGUCCCCGGGUGUCCCCUGUCCAGGUCCCUGAAUGUCCCUUGCUUGGUCCUGGUCCCUGUGUGUCCCCUACCCAUCCCUUGGUGUCCCAUCCUUGGGUGUCCCUGGAUGUCCCUUGCCUACUCCAGGUGCCUAGGUGUCCCCUGCCCAUCCCUGAGUGUCCUAUCCCCUUAUGUCCCCUGCCUUGUCCCUGUGUGUCCCCUAACCACCCCUGGGUGUCCCAUCCCUGUCCUGGUCCCUGGGUGUCCCUUGCCUAGUCCCUGUGUGUCCCCUACCCAUCCCCUUAUGGCCCUUGUCUUGUCCCUGGGUGUCCCCUGCCCAUCCCUGAGUGUCCUAUCCCCUUAUGUCCCUUGCCUGGUCCCUGGUGUCCCCUACCCCUCCCUGAGUGUCCCAUCCCCUUAUGUCCCCUGCCUUGUCCCUGGGUGUCCCCUACCCACCCCUGGGUGUCCCCGAAUGUCCCUUGCCUGCUCCAGAUCCCCGGGUGUCCCCUGCCCAUCCCGGUCCCCGGCCUGUGCCCGCUCUGGUCCCCGUCCCGCCGCUCCCUCGGUGCCGGUCCCGGUGCCGGUGGCCGCGGUCCCUCCCGUCGGG
RNAcentral lists this long non-coding RNA (1095 nucleotides) under Calidris pygmaea (Spoon-billed sandpiper). Its description in RNAcentral is "lncRNA (ENSCPGG00000009910.1)". The record is from RNAcentral. Lineage: Eukaryota; Metazoa; Chordata; Aves; Charadriiformes; Scolopacidae.